CGGACGGGUGGAGUAACGACGUGGAAACCGUAGCCGUAUACUGGGGAGUAACACUUAGAAUAGGUGCUAAUACCGCAUAAGCGCACAGCUUCGCAUGAAGCGGUGUGAAAAACUACUGGUGGUAUACGAUGGUUCCGCGUCUGAUUAGCUAGUUGGUGGGGUAAUGGCCUACCAAGGCAACGAUCAGUAGCCGGCCUGAGAGGGUGAACGGCCACAUUGGGACUGAGACACGGCCCAAACUCCUACGGGAGGCAGCAG
This 258-nucleotide ribosomal RNA is filed under the name uncultured bacterium. RNAcentral's name for it is "partial 16S ribosomal RNA". It matches the Rfam family "Bacterial small subunit ribosomal RNA", at positions 99 to 354 of the family's 1533-position model. The record is from RNAcentral.